RNAcentral lists this ribosomal RNA (253 nucleotides) under uncultured bacterium. Its description in RNAcentral is "partial 16S ribosomal RNA". It matches the Rfam family "Bacterial small subunit ribosomal RNA", at positions 524 to 776 of the family's 1533-position model. The record is from RNAcentral.
UACGGAGGAUGCAAGCGUUAUCCGGAUUUAUUGGGUUUAAAGGGUGCGCAGGUUGUUUGAUAAGUCAGUGGUGAAAGUCUGUCGCUUAACGGUAGGAUUGCCAUUGAUACUGAAGAGCUUGAAUAUAGUUGAGGUAGGCGGAAUGUGCAGUGUAGCGGUGAAAUGCUUAGAUAUUGCACAGAACACCGAUUGCGAAGGCAGCUUACUGGGCCACAACUGACGCUGAUGCACGAAAGCGUGGGGAUCGAACAGG